UUAUCGUGUGCGCGAGUCAUUGGGCGUUGAAAACCCAAGGGCGCAAUGAAAGUGAAUGUUUCCGCAAGGAGCUGAUGUGCGAUCCCGGGCGYUGCGGUGCCCGGGCGCAGCAUGGCCCCAUCCUGACUGCUUGCAGUGGGGUGGAGGCAGAGCGUACGCGGUGAGACCCGAAAGAUGGUGAACUAUUCCUGAGCAGGACGAAGCCAGAGGAAACUCUGGUGGAAGUCCGAAGCGGUUCUGACGUGCAAUCGAUCGUCUGACUUGGGUAUAGGGGCGAAAGACUAAUCGAACCAUCUAGUAGCUGGUUCCUUCCGAA
Molecule: ribosomal RNA, 316 nt
Filed under: Nacobbus aberrans
Lineage: Eukaryota; Metazoa; Nematoda; Chromadorea; Rhabditida; Pratylenchidae
Description: eukaryotic LSU rRNA
Rfam family: Eukaryotic large subunit ribosomal RNA
Source: RNAcentral